This 342-nucleotide ribosomal RNA is filed under the name uncultured bacterium. RNAcentral describes it as "bacterial SSU rRNA". It matches the Rfam family "Bacterial small subunit ribosomal RNA", at positions 8 to 334 of the family's 1533-position model. The record is from RNAcentral.
AGAGUUCGAUUAUGGCUCAGGAUGAACGCUGGCGGCGUGCUUAACACAUGCAAGUCGAGCGAAGCGGCUGAAUUGAUUCUUCGGAUGAUUUUCAGUUGACUGAGCGGCGGACGGGUGAGUAACGCGUGGGUGACCUGCCCCAUACCGGGGGAUAACAGCUGGAAACGGCUGCUAAUAUCGCAUAAGCGCACAGAGCUGCAUGGCUCGGUGUGAAAAACUCCGGUGGUAUGGGAUGGGCCCGCGUCUGAUUAGGCAGUUGGCGGGGUAACGGCCCACCAAGGCAACGAUCGGUAGCCGGACUGAGAGGUUGAACGGCCACAUUGGGACUGAGACACGGCCCAG